UCACCCAGGUUGGCACUGUUCCGCUGGAGCUUUUGAAUACCAGCAUUAUCCACUAAUAUAUCCCAUAAACUCAGUUUAAAGCAAAAACUUAAUUCACAACAGGUAAACCUGAAUGCGAAAGAUCAGAUGCAACAAUCUAAACAUCGAUGGAAAAGAGAAAUGAAAAAUUGCAAUCAGGAAAGUACGCACACUGAGUUUCAUCAUUACUGUAUUUAGAUUGUUAAGUGUGAAAAUGCUCAGAACUACAAGGAGCACUUUAGGUUGGUUAUGCUCACCAUGCUAAUUCAAUAUUAAGGCAUUAUAUCACAAGUCACAUAGUGCCAACUACCAACAAUGACAAUAGUUUAGUCAUGCACAUGAUAGAAAGGAAAUCCUCAUGAAAAAUUUGAACCAUAAUUGGAAAGCAAAAUUGAUAAAAUAAACCCAGAAGUAACUCUCACAUGACAUGCUCAUUAAUGUAUGAAGAUAGUGAUGCGAUGAAAAUGCCGAGCAUUUUUCACACGGCAUUCUCUUUUGUUGUUAAGUCAUAAUACCAUUAUAUCAAGAGUCAUAUUGCAGCAAUGAUGAAAUAUGU
RNAcentral lists this unclassified non-coding RNA (574 nucleotides) under Hevea brasiliensis (rubber tree). Lineage: Eukaryota; Viridiplantae; Streptophyta; Magnoliopsida; Malpighiales; Euphorbiaceae. The record is from RNAcentral.